ACCAGGUGGCGGUCCUCCAAAACCCGGUGACGGUCCUCCAAAACCCGGUGGCGGUCCUCAACGGCCACCAGGUUCUUGAGGACCGCCACCAGUUCUUAUGGACCGCCACCAGGUUCUUGAGGACCACCACCAGGUUUUGGAGGACCGCCAUCACGUUUUGGAGAACCGCCAUCAGGU
RNAcentral lists this microRNA precursor (177 nucleotides) under Fragaria vesca subsp. vesca. Its description in RNAcentral is "Fragaria vesca miR11302 stem-loop (fve-MIR11302)". Lineage: Eukaryota; Viridiplantae; Streptophyta; Magnoliopsida; Rosales; Rosaceae. The record is from miRBase by way of RNAcentral.